This 500-nucleotide ribosomal RNA is filed under the name uncultured bacterium. Its description in RNAcentral is "partial 16S ribosomal RNA". It matches the Rfam family "Bacterial small subunit ribosomal RNA", at positions 30 to 523 of the family's 1533-position model. The record is from RNAcentral.
AUUGAACGCUGGCGGCAUGCCUUACACAUGCAAGUCGAACGGCAGCACGGGAGCAAUCCUGGUGGCGAGUGGCGAACGGGUGAGUAAUGUAUCGGAACGUGCCCAGUCGUGGGGGAUAACGUAGCGAAAGCUACGCUAAUACCGCAUACGAUCUGUGGAUGAAAGCGGGGGACCGUAAGGCCUCGCGCGAUUAGAGCGGCCGAUAUCAGAUUAGGUAGUUGGUGGGGUAAAGGCCUACCAAGCCGACGAUCUGUAGCUGGUCUGAGAGGACGACCAGCCACACUGGGAAUGAGACACGGCCCAGACUCCUACGGGAGGCAGCAGUGGGGAAUUUUGGACAAUGGGCGCAAGCCUGAUCCAGCAAUGCCGCGUGCAGGAUGAAGGCCUUCGGGUUGUAAACUGCUUUUGUACGGAGCGAAAAGGCUCUCUCUAAUACAGGGGGCUCAUGACGGUACCGUAAGAAUAAGCACCGGCUAACUACGUGCCAGCAGCCGCGGUAA